GUAUCUAUUAGGUUGGUGCAAAAGUAAUUGUGGCUUUGCCAUUACUUUCAGUGGCAAAAACCACAAUUACUUUUGCACCAAUUUAUUCAUU
MicroRNA precursor from Chlorocebus sabaeus (green monkey), 91 nucleotides. NCBI's taxonomy places the organism in Eukaryota, Metazoa, Chordata, Mammalia, Primates, Cercopithecidae. The record is from Ensembl.